CAAUACGGAGUGGCAGACGGGUGAGUAACACGUGGGAACGUACCCUUCGGUUCGGGAUAACUCAGGGAAACUUGAGCUAAUACCGGAUACGUCCGAGAGGAGAAAGAUUUAUUGCCGAGGGAUCGGCCCGCGUCUGAUUAGCUUGUUGGUGAGGUAACGGCUCACCAAGGCGACGAUCAGUAGCUGGUCUGAGAGGAUGAUCAGCCACAUUGGGACUGAGACACGGCCCAA
Molecule: ribosomal RNA, 231 nt
Filed under: uncultured bacterium
Lineage: Bacteria
Description: partial 16S ribosomal RNA
Rfam family: Bacterial small subunit ribosomal RNA
Source: RNAcentral